CAAGCAAGCAAGCAAGCAAGCAGUUCUGCAGUGGAAAAUAGCUGGGUGCCGUCCAAUUCAAUUCUGACACUAUCUACCUGCAGAGCGUCAGAUCAGGAAGUUGAGGGCCCAGUCCUCAAAACCACACCACCCUUCAGACACCAGUUGGGCCUCUGGAUCUUCUGAUCUACGACCACCAGCUUUAAGUAGGGGUUCCCAUGACCCCUUCUUUGGGUUUAAUUUGCUAGAAGUGGCUCACAGAACUCAAGAAAACACAUUUACCAGUUUAUUAUGAAGGAUAUUCAAAGGAUAUAGAAGAAGACAUGCAUAGGGUGAGGGACCAGUCCCACCCUGAAGCUAUCAAUCAUUA
Molecule: long non-coding RNA, 349 nt
Filed under: Homo sapiens (human)
Lineage: Eukaryota; Metazoa; Chordata; Mammalia; Primates; Hominidae
Description: HSALNT0054149
Source: RNAcentral